This 83-nucleotide microRNA precursor is filed under the name Prunus dulcis (almond). RNAcentral describes it as "sRNA ncRNA". The record is from RNAcentral. Lineage: Eukaryota; Viridiplantae; Streptophyta; Magnoliopsida; Rosales; Rosaceae.
GAAAGGCAAUAAUUUGAAUGUUGGUGAUGUAUGUGUCUUUGUGUUGAUUGAUGACACAUACAUCACCAACAUUCAAAUUAUUG